Molecule: ribosomal RNA, 401 nt
Filed under: uncultured bacterium
Lineage: Bacteria
Description: bacterial SSU rRNA
Rfam family: Bacterial small subunit ribosomal RNA
Source: RNAcentral
UGGGGAAUCUUGGACAAUGGGCGCAAGCCUGAUCCAGCCAUGCCGCGUGAGUGAAGAAGGCCUUAGGGUUGUAAAGCUCUUUUGGCAGGGACGAUAAUGACGGUACCUGCAGAAUAAGCCCCGGCAAACUUCGUGCCAGCAGCCGCGGUAAUACGAAGGGGGCUAGCGUUGUUCGGAUUUACUGGGCGUAAAGCGCACUUAGGCGGAUUGUUAAGUCAGGGGUGAAAUCCCGGAGCUCAACUCCGGAACUGCCUUUGAUACUGGCAAUCUUGAGGCUGGAAGAGGUUGGUAGAAUUCCCAGUGUAGAGGUGAAAUUCGUAGAUAUUGGGAAGAAUACCAGUGGCGAAGGCGGCCAACUGGUCCAGAUCUGACGCUGAGGUGCGAAAGCGUGGGGAGCAAAC